Molecule: ribosomal RNA, 496 nt
Filed under: uncultured bacterium
Lineage: Bacteria
Description: partial 16S ribosomal RNA
Rfam family: Bacterial small subunit ribosomal RNA
Source: RNAcentral
AUUGAACGCUGGCGGAAUGCUUUACACAUGCAAGUCGAACGGUAGAGGGGGCAACCCCUCGAGAGUGGCGAACGGGUGAGUAAUAUAUCGGAACGUGGCCAGUCGUGGGGGAUAACGUAGCGAAAGUUACGCUAAUACCGCAUACGAUCUAAGGAUGAAAGAGGGGGAUCGCAAGACCUCGCGCGAUUGGAGGGGCCGAUAUCGGAUUAGGUCGUUGGUGGGGUAAAGGCUCACCAAGCCAACGAUCUGUAGCUGGUCUGAGAGGACGACCAGCCACACUGGAACUGAGACACGGUCCAGACUCCUACGGGAGGCAGCAGUGGGGAAUUUUGGACAAUGGACGCAAGUCUGAUCCAGCCAUUCCGCGUGCAGGAUGAAGGCCCUCGGGUUGUAAACUGCUUUUGUACGGAACGAAAAGAUCUCUCUUAAUACGGGGGGCUCAUGACGGUAGCGUAAGAAUAGGCACCGGCUAACUACGUGCCAGCCGCCGCGGUAA